This 292-nucleotide ribosomal RNA is filed under the name uncultured bacterium. Its description in RNAcentral is "partial 16S ribosomal RNA". It matches the Rfam family "Bacterial small subunit ribosomal RNA", at positions 505 to 796 of the family's 1533-position model. The record is from RNAcentral.
GUGCCAGCCGCCGCGGUAAUACGAAGGGGGCUAGCGUUGUUCGGAAUUACUGGGCGUAAAGGGCGCGCAGGCGGCCGCUCAAGUCAGAUGUGAAAGCCCCGGGCUCAACCUGGGAACUGCAUUUGAUACUGAGUGGCUAGAGUUCGGGAGAGGAGAGUGGAAUUCCCAGUGUAGAGGUGAAAUUCGUAGAUAUUGGGAAGAACACCGGUGGCGAAGGCGGCUCUCUGGACCGAUACUGACGCUGAGGCGCGAAAGCGUGGGGAGCAAACAGGAUUAGAUACCCUUGUAGUCC